Trematomus bernacchii (emerald rockcod) is the source of this 268-nucleotide long non-coding RNA. RefSeq lists it as uncharacterized. Lineage: Eukaryota; Metazoa; Chordata; Actinopteri; Perciformes; Nototheniidae. The record is from RefSeq and is a predicted model, not a curated record. The transcript is spliced from 3 exons.
CUCACUUGCUCCUCAUCUCCCUGUUCACUUUCAUUCAUUUCUGUGUAUGGGCAAGAAGGGCUAACAUGGACUCUUUGGGUCUUUGUAUCCUUCUUAUGCUUCUGUGUUUCCAGUGGACGACGGCCCCUGCUGCUGAGGAAAUUACCUGGACCUACACUGUUACAGUUCAACAAGCUGGCACGAGAAAAGCAGCCACAGAGAGAUGAUGAAGGGGAGGAGGGAGAUAGAGAGGAAGAAAGCGAGGAAAAGGCACGGAGUGAGAAAGGCG